This 301-nucleotide ribosomal RNA is filed under the name uncultured bacterium. Its description in RNAcentral is "partial 16S ribosomal RNA". It matches the Rfam family "Bacterial small subunit ribosomal RNA", at positions 509 to 807 of the family's 1533-position model. The record is from RNAcentral.
CAGUAGCCACGGUAAUACGUAGGGCGCAAGCGUUGUCCGGAAUUAUUGGGCGUAAAGAGCUCGUAGGCGGUCUGUCGCGUCUGGUGUGAAAUCCCGAGGCUCAACCUCGGGCUUGCAUCGGGUACGGGCAGACUAGAGUGCGGUAGGGGAGACUGGAAUUCCUGGUGUAGCGGUGGAAUGCGCAGAUAUCAGGAGGAACACCGAUGGCGAAGGCAGGUCUCUGGGCCGCAACUGACGCUGAGGAGCGAAAGCAUGGGGAGCGAACAGGAUUAGAUACCCCCGUAGUCCCUGUCUCUUAUAC